AAAUUAUAACAUUUUCCGCUGUAGAAAGCAGGCGCUUUAUUAAGCUUAAUAUCCUGCCGAGGUGGAGACAAGAUCGUCUUUUGAAGACAUGAAAGACAUUAAUAAUCUUGCCUCUGCGCCCAGCAGAGGCUUGUUUAUUGACAGC
Dehalobacter sp. CF is the source of this 145-nucleotide non-coding RNA. The record is from Rfam. NCBI's taxonomy places the organism in Bacteria, Bacillati, Bacillota, Clostridia, Eubacteriales, Desulfitobacteriaceae.